This 439-nucleotide ribosomal RNA is filed under the name uncultured bacterium. Its description in RNAcentral is "partial 16S ribosomal RNA". It matches the Rfam family "Bacterial small subunit ribosomal RNA", at positions 338 to 795 of the family's 1533-position model. The record is from RNAcentral.
CCUACGGGUGGCAGCAGUGGGGAAUAUUGCACAAUGGGCGAAAGCCUGAUGCAGCAACGCCGCGUGAGCGAUGAAGGCCUUCGGGUCGUAAAGCUCUGUCCUCAAGGAAGAUAAUGACGGUACUUGAGGAGGAAGCCCCGGCUAACUACGUGCCAGCAGCCGCGGUUAUACGUAGGGGGCUAGCGUCAUCCGGAAUUACUGGGCGUAAAGGGUGGGUAGGUGGUUUCUUAGGUCAGAGGGGAAAGCGUACGGCUAAACCGUAGUAAGCCUUUGACACUGGGAAACUUGAGUGCAGGAGAGGAGAGUGGAAUUCCUGGGGUAGCGGUGAAAUGCGUAGAUAUUAGGAGGAACACCAGUUGCGAAGGCGGCUCUCUGGACUGUAACUGACACUGAGGCACGAAAGCGUGGGGAGCAAACAGGAUUAGAUACCCCUGUAGUC